This 387-nucleotide unclassified non-coding RNA is filed under the name uncultured fungus. RNAcentral describes it as "partial contains 5.8S ribosomal RNA and internal transcribed spacer 2". The stretch from base 1 to 133 matches the Rfam family "5.8S ribosomal RNA", at positions 22 to 154 of the family's 154-position model. The record is from RNAcentral. Lineage: Eukaryota; Fungi.
UGGCUCUCGCAUCGAUGAAGAACGCAGCGAAAUGCGAUAAGUAAUGUGAAUUGCAGAAUUCAGUGAAUCAUCGAAUCUUUGAACGCACCUUGCGCCCGUUGGUAUUCCGAUGGGCAUGCCUGUUUGAGUGUCUUGAAAUCAUCAACCCUCUUCGGUUUCGUUACCGUACGGUUGGACUUGGGGGUCUUUGCUGGCGAAAGUCGGCUCCCCUUAAAUGCAUCGGUUUGGUAGUCCUUGGCUUAUGCGUCGAACCAGUAGGCGUUGUAUUCACCUCGCUGAGCGUUGUCUGACUGCGGCUUUGGACGCGAUCCUUACCCCGACUUGCCUAUGGAGUGGCGGUCACCUUUUUGAACUCUUGACCUCAAAUCAGGUAGGACUACCCGCUGA